AGUGAACGCUGGCGGUAGGCCUAACACAUGCAAGUCGAACGGCAGCACAGUAAGAGCUUGCUCUUACGGGUGGCGAGUGGCGGACGGGUGAGGAAUACAUCGGAAUCUACUUUUUCGUGGGGGAUAACGUAGGGAAACUUACGCUAAUACCGCAUACGAACUACGGGUGAAAGCAGGGGAUCUUCGGCCCUUGCGCGAUUGAAUGAGCCGAUGUCGGAUUAGCUAGUUGGCGGGGUAAAGGCCCACCAAGGCGACGAUCCGUAGCUGGUCUGAGAGGAUGAUCAGCCACACUGGAACUGAGACACGGUCCAGACUCCUACGGGAGGCAGCAGUGGGGAAUAUUGGACAAUGGGCGCAAGCCUGAUCCAGCCAUACCGCGUGUGUGAAGAAGGCCUUCGGGUUGUAAAGCCCUUUUGUUGGGAAAGAAAAGCAGCAGGUUGAUACCCCGCUGUUCUGACGUUACCCAAAGAAUAAGCACCGGCUAACUUCGUG
Molecule: ribosomal RNA, 492 nt
Filed under: uncultured bacterium
Lineage: Bacteria
Description: partial 16S ribosomal RNA
Rfam family: Bacterial small subunit ribosomal RNA
Source: RNAcentral